Molecule: non-coding RNA, 596 nt
Organism: Macaca mulatta (Rhesus monkey)
Lineage: Eukaryota; Metazoa; Chordata; Mammalia; Primates; Cercopithecidae
Source: RefSeq, a predicted model, not a curated record
GGUGUGAACCUGUGACCUCAGCUACUCCGGAGACUGAGGCAGGAGGAUUCGCUGAGGGGGGAGUAUGAGUCUGCAAUGAGCUAUGAUAACACCACUGUACUCCAGUCUGAGCAACAAAAACAAAAUAUUCAGCUGGAUGUUUGUCACAAUUCUAAUAUCCCUGCAAAGAUGAGAUGCAUGAAUCACACAGCAAUCUCAUCAAAAAGAUGGGAUCCCCAACUGUGUGGAUCCUGGUAAGAAGAGCCCCCACCCCUCCCUGGAAUCCAGGACACUGGCAUCUAACUCACUCCAGGCCAACUGGAGGGCCCUACCUGUGUCUUCAAAGCUUGAUUAAAUGAUACAUUGCAAGGCCAAUUUAGGAUUUCUUGAAAGAGGUAAUGCGGGGUGGCAUGGCAGUGUUGUCUAGUUGUAGCAGUAUUCACUAGAGGCUCUGGCAGUGGCGAGAUCCAUGGUGUUCAUGGGGUGUGACCAGACUCUUCCCAGAUUGUGACCUUGGUUUUUGCCCGUCUUCCCUGAGAUCAAACCUGCUUCUCUAGCCCUCUCAUUCAUUCUAUAAACACCUUGAUAUUCCUCUACUAGAGGCCUUUUCUGUUUCA